AUGCCCGUAUUUGUUAAAGCACCAAAGCGCUUUGAAUGUUCCAAAGAAAUUACUCCUGGCCCAGCAACAUACGAGCUCAGUCCCUUUUUAAGACAUUCUGUUCUGAAGAGAACAUACAAUGUAACUCUACCAAAUUCCAUCUUGAUUAAGAGAGAAAACACUCCUACCAUAGAACAGAAAUUCAAACAAAAACGCCCGGGAGGCAAAAUAGAAUCUUCUAAAUGAUAUAUUCCAAAGGUAUUAUCUAUUAAUAUAAAGGUAAGCUGACAGUUCUCUCAUGAAGAAGCACUUCCAUUUUGAUGAUGUCCUCCAUCAGCUGCUCAAAGAAACAUAAUUGCUCUUCUAACAUCUAGAGAUAGAAAAAUCUGUUUGUACAAGAUGUUUAAUCCUCCUUUUCCCUGAAAAAAGCAGUAUGUAUAUUCAUUUCAUUUUUUCUAAACAUAUACUACUGAUGCUUCCAUAUAAAAUAUAAUACUGAAUAAAGACAUCUGAUGAAAAGCCUUUUUUUUUUUUACUGUAGAGUCUCAUUCUCUAACCAGAGAAUACAAUUAUUUUCCAAAUACUAGGUAUGCUGAAACAAAGUAAAUGAUGUUAUUAUGUGUAUGUGUAUCUACUUGACUCAUUUUCUUACCCUUCAUUUCUCUGAAAUGUUAAAAGUAGAGACUAAAAAUCAUAAAAGGAAUAUUCAGUAUGUUUUACUUUGUAUGAAUUUAUGUGCAAAUAGAAGAGCAAGGAAAAAGUGACUAAAUUAUGGCAAUAUGCUGAGUUCUUUUCAAUAGCCUACAUAUUGGAGGAAGAGGAAUAAACUUAAAUAUUAAAUUCUAAAACUUUUGUGGUUAAUUCUCUACUUCUAACAUGGUCUUGAAAAACAAAUCAGUCAAAGAUAAGGAUUUAUAUCAUGGUUCCUAAUGUUUGGGGAGGAGCAUAGCCCCUUUGGAAUUUUGAUAAAAGCUAUGGAAACUUCAUUGAUAAAAGUAGAUUUAUGUAAAUAAUGUAAAUUUAACAUAAUUUCAAAGGACUCAAGUACUCCGGAAAUGUUUCAAUGUAUUUUGAUUUAAGAUAACUUAAUUGAAAAUAUCUCCAUUAACGUACCUAACUUUCCUCAAAUCUGGAACAAUAAAACCCAGAAUAAAUGGUCAAAAACUAUUUGCUCUCCCAUUGGAUUGGAUGAAUUGAAUUGAAUACCCAAAACAUCACAGAAGAGGUAGUUGAUAGAGCAGAGACUUUGAACUCAUGGCCUAGGUAUAGAACCCUCAGUAAAUUACUUCAUCACCUUGUUCUUUGUUAUGUGGCUAUAAGAUGAAGCGGUUGGUGUGCUAGAUCAGUAGUUCUCAAACAAAAUCAUCAAAUGAGUUGAUAAAAUAAUGCAACUUUCCAAUAUCCAACAACUGCCUACUUGGUAUGGUCUGUACUCUUGGGUGGUGUUCUGGAACCCAAAUUUUCCUCUAGGCAUUUAUAUGAUUUAGUUAUAUCCUCAAGAUUUAUAAUAUUUCUUUCAGAAGUUCCCUUUAUAUAUAUCAUAUAAACCAUAUAAAAUAUAGUUCUGGUUGCAGAAAAUUCAGACAACCGAAAGUAUUUGAAGUUGAUUAGAUAUGCUGCAACACCCUUGCAUGUAUUCUUUAAAAAACAACUUUAUAGAAUGAUUUUAUUGUUUUCCACAUAAUGCUAUUCCUGUGUAUUGUAUAAUAUAUAAAUCUGUUCAUGAAAGAAUAGAAAAAUGAAAAUGCAGAAUGUAGGAGAGAGUUGCCAAUCAAUUCUUAAGACAAUAUUUUAAUUAUUCAACAGAAUAAUUUUUAUGUCUAUAAUCUUAAGUUAUUUCAAAAUUUUUUAGACCAGAGCUAGUUGGAAAAACAUGUACAUAAAGUUUCAUAUUACUAUCAUAAGAAAACAAUACAAACCUCUUGUCACUUAAAAACAAAUAAACAAAGUUGAGAAUAUAAUAUGUGAACAUUGCAUAUGAAGCAUAAUUAUUUUGAUAUUUUUUGGAGCAGAAAUACUCUGUCUUCAAAAUAAUAGCCUUUCUACAAUAUUAAAAAAAUAACUUAGAGAGAACUAUAAAAGGGAUAAGCAGAAAAAUAUAAAACAGUAAAAUAGAAGAGGCUAUAUAUAUACAUACAUAUAUAUCUUUAGAAAAAUGAAUAAAAUAUAUAAAUAUAUAAACAAAAUCAAACAAUAUGGGAAACUGAAGAAAUUCUAUGUUAUAAACAUUUUGAAUAAAAUGGGUCUUAGAAAAUUCAUCUUCCUAUGAAGCAAACUUACUACAAGAAGCAAGAAAUUGUUAGAACAUAUAUGCUUAGAAUCUUUGCAAGUUUCAGAAAGAUAUUUCCUCUAUGCGAGAAGAGCAAACAAUUUUGAAGAUGAAACAAGUUGAGACAAAGAAAACUCAAGACAGCCAAACUAAAAGUUAAAAAAAAAAAACAAACCCAGAUAGUCAAACUAAAUGCCAUGUUAUUGAUAAUAAGGACAUUUAACAAUUCAUAAAAUUAAAUUGAUGGUGUAAAAGUUCAGUUUCAGUAACACAAAAUUCACAGAAAAACAGUAAGUAAUAAAAAUAAGGAUUAAGUUAGGUUGCUCAGGGGACCCCACGUAUACACCAAUCGCAUUCCUAACCAUGUCUGUGUAUAUCAGUCCAUGGCAAUUAAUUCUAGGGAAAUGAGAAGAUUCCCCAUUUUUCAAAAGUUUAGAACCAGAGAUUUCAGGGAGACAAUGAUUUAACCGUACUCUGAGAAUGUAUUAUGCAGGACUCAGCAAGUGCUUCAAAUUAGAAAGGUUGAUGGCUAAUUUCUACAACUUUGACAAAAAAAAUGUGUAAAAAUACUAAACAGUUGCCUUUUUUAGCUCCAGUAUUAAUACAACUAAAAUAAUGUUGCACUGAUCCAUCAAUAUUUUUCAUGCCCAGCUUUUGUGAUUAUGUACAAAUACUCAUUUUUUUCAUUUAUACCCAUAAUAAAAUGACCCAUUAAGCUACUUCCUGUGCAAGUAGUGCAUGACUGAAGGUUUUGUAUUGUUUUCAAAAGGAAGAUGACUGUGGUUUGGUUGUGUGACUAUGAAAAGUUUUGGUGUCUCCUCGUGGUGCAAACUUGCUGCUGUUAGCCAAGCCGGUUUCUCUUUUCACCUAACAGUUAUCUGAAGAAAUAUGAUUCAGUUAUGGCCAAUGAAGCAUGAGUAGAAAUGACAUAUAACACUUCCAGCUUUAGCCCAUGAAUAACCUCCCUGUGAAUGGUCCAUUCCAUUUUCAUCCUGUACAACUGGAUACAAAGGAAUUCAAUGGAGAACACUAAUGAAGCACUGAGAAAUCAGGUGAUGGAAAGAGGCUGGAUCUUGAAUGACCACUUAGAUCACCCACACAGCACUUGACAAGAAUCAAAAGUAUACUUGUUAAGCCACUAAGGUUCAGAAUCUAUUGGUCAUAGCUUUACCUUAACUAAUGCAUUUUAGAUACUUCCAUACUUAAUAACAGAAUAGGUCUCUCCACAGGUAAGAUGUUCAAGCUUAGUUGGUGGCAUUUGCUUUAAGGAAUCAGACGUUGUAAACAAAGGCAUGAUAUUCUAGUAAAGUAGAAACCAAAUUAGUCAUCAGGUUAGAGCCUUCUGUCUCAGAACCAAGUGUUGGGUUGAAAGAUAAUUCGUUUGCAGUGCAUUACAUAGGUUGCAACACCCUUGCGUAUAUUCACCAGAAAAAUAAUUUGGCAUCUAAAGAGUGUAGGUCAUAUGUCUUCUGUAAUUUUCAUGGUUGAAACUAGCUGAAUGUAUCUUCUUUCAGCUUCAACAGGCAGUUAACUAAAAACCAGUUUGUAAGCAUCUAAAAAGAUGUCCAAACUCUCUCAUUAUAAAAGAAGUGCAAUUUAAAACAACUUGAGAUAGGACUUUUCACCUUUCAGAAUAUAAAAAGAAAACAAAAGCAUAAUACAUACUCAGUAGACUAGACUCUAAGAAAGAGUCAAUCUCAUAUAAUGCUGGUAGAAGUGCACAUAUCUAUGACCCUUAGGAAGGUCAGUGGGCAAUGUCUACCAAAAAAUACAAACGCAAAUAACCUUUGACCAAAUAAUUCUAAUUAGUGGAAUUUAUCCUACAAAUACACUUAGAGAUGUAUAAAAUGACAUAUGAACAAGAGUUGUUUGUAAGAAUAAAAAAGUGUAAAUUGCAUUAAUGCAGUUUAUAAAAGUAAAAUAUAGAGUAUGUUUCAAUUGAGAGCUAGUUAAAUAAAUUGUCAUACAUAUCCAUACAGAGCAGCUAUUAAAAAAUGUGAAAUCGCACUAGGUAUCACAUAUAGAAAAUCUUUCAAGAUACAUUAAGUUAAAAAAAGUUUAGAAGAACAUAUAUAGUAUGGUAUCUUUUGUGUAAAAUGGAGGAGGAGGAUCUAUAUUCAUAUUUGCUUGAACAUACAUAAAGAAACUGGAAAAUUUUUAUAAGACACUAGGAACAGUGGGUCCCUAUGUGGGAGGACACAUCUGAGAACUGGGAAGACAAGAAAUGAGGGAGACUUGUAUAACUGUUCAUACCUUUUGGUUUUUGAAUCAUGUAGAUCAAUUCAAAACAUGCAAUUUAGUAAAAAGAUCAAAAUAAAAAGAUGAAAUUUAACUUGUUAACCAAAUUGUUCAUUUUAUGGAGUUUUGCUGGUUUCCAAGGGCCCUUCAGUUUAAAUAACUGGGUAGAUUGGUUACUCUCAUGUGUGAAUUCUGUCAGCCCCCUUAGAAAUGAAGCCAUAGGUUAGAAAACUUUCUGGGCUGAGGGCUUUAAAUUAAGUUCACAUUUAUUUUUUGUUUGGAGUAGACCUUUAUUUUCUACUACAUUUUCUAUCAUAUUUAUUUAUAAAUUAU
Molecule: long non-coding RNA, 4819 nt
Organism: Microcebus murinus (gray mouse lemur)
Lineage: Eukaryota; Metazoa; Chordata; Mammalia; Primates; Cheirogaleidae
Source: Ensembl